This 294-nucleotide unclassified non-coding RNA is filed under the name uncultured fungus. RNAcentral's name for it is "sequence contains ITS1". Lineage: Eukaryota; Fungi. The record is from RNAcentral.
GAGGACUACGCGGGUUUCUAAUCCUGUUCGCUCCCCAUGCUUUCGCUCCUCAGCGUCAGUUACAGCCCAGAGACCUGCCUUCGCCAUCGGUGUUCCUCCUGAUAUCUGCGCAUUUCACCGCUACACCAGGAAUUCCAGUCUCCCCUACUGCACUCCAGCCUGCCCGUACCCACUGCAGACCCGGGGUUGAGCCCCGGGCUUUCACAGCAGACGCGACAAACCGCCUACGAGCUCUUUACGCCCAAUAAUUCCGGAUAACGCUCGCGCCCUACGUAUUACCGCGGCGGCUGACAC